Molecule: microRNA precursor, 56 nt
Organism: Haplochromis burtoni (Burton's mouthbrooder)
Lineage: Eukaryota; Metazoa; Chordata; Actinopteri; Cichliformes; Cichlidae
Source: Ensembl
CAGGGUUGGUACUGAUGGACCAGGGGCUCUACUGGUCCAUCAGUACCAACCCUGUC